UACGAAGGGAGCUAGCGUUGUUCGGAAUCACUGGGCGUAAAGCGCACGUAGGCGGAUGUGUCAGUCAGGGGUGAAAUCCCGGAGCUCAACUUCGGAACUGCCUUUGAUACAGCACGUCUUGAGUCCGAUAGAGGUGGGUGGAAUUCCUAGUGUAGAGGUGAAAUUCGUAGAUAUUAGGAAGAACACCGGUGGCGAAGGCGGCCCACUGGAUCGGUACUGACGCUGAGGAGCGAAAGCGUGGGUAGCAAACAGG
Molecule: ribosomal RNA, 253 nt
Filed under: uncultured bacterium
Lineage: Bacteria
Description: partial 16S ribosomal RNA
Rfam family: Bacterial small subunit ribosomal RNA
Source: RNAcentral